RNAcentral lists this ribosomal RNA (326 nucleotides) under uncultured eukaryote. RNAcentral describes it as "partial 18S ribosomal RNA". It matches the Rfam family "Eukaryotic small subunit ribosomal RNA", at positions 1470 to 1796 of the family's 1831-position model. The record is from RNAcentral.
CCCUUAGAUGUCCUGGGCCGCACGCGCGCUACACUGAACGGAUCAGCGCGUUUUCCCUUCCCGAGAGGGACGGGUAACCUGCUGAACCCCGUUCGUGGUAGGGAUCGGGGCUUGCAAUUAUUCCCCGUGAACCAGGAAUGCCCAGUAAGUGCAAGUCAUAAGCUUGCGUUGAUUACGUCCCUGCCCUUUGUACGCACCGCCCGUCGCUACUACCGAUUGAACGUUUUAGUGAGGUACUCGGACUGAGCCUCAGAAGAUUCACGUCUUUUGUGCUGCUCGGGAAGAUUCCCAAACUUGAGCGUUUAGAGGAAGUAAAAGUCGUAACA